UUGUCUUUUAAAUAAAGACUAGUAUGAACGGCUAAAUGAGGACAGACCUGUCUCUUACAAUUGACCAGUGAAACUGAUCUUCAAGUCCAAAAGCUUGAAUGAACACAUAAGACGAGAAGACCCUGUGGAGCUUCAAACCCAUACUAUAAUUAACCAAAUAGCACCGGUUUUAAGUUGGGGCGACUUCGGAAUACAACCUAACUUCCGAGCACGGGGCCAUCACACCCUCACCAAGACCGACAGGUCAAAGAAAAAUCCGACCCAGUCACACUGACCAACGAACCAAGUUACCCCAGGGAUAACAGCGCUAUCUUCUUCAAGAGUCCCUAUCGACAAGAAGGUUUACGACCUCGAUGUUGGAUCAGGACACCCAAAUGGUGCAGCAACUAUUAAAGGUUCGUUUGUUCAACGAUU
Molecule: ribosomal RNA, 414 nt
Filed under: Cryptoblepharus boutonii degrijsi
Lineage: Eukaryota; Metazoa; Chordata; Lepidosauria; Squamata; Scincidae
Description: partial 16S ribosomal RNA
Rfam family: Bacterial large subunit ribosomal RNA
Source: RNAcentral